Triticum dicoccoides is the source of this 2203-nucleotide long non-coding RNA. RefSeq lists it as uncharacterized. NCBI's taxonomy places the organism in Eukaryota, Viridiplantae, Streptophyta, Magnoliopsida, Poales, Poaceae. The transcript has 3 exons. The record is from RefSeq and is a predicted model, not a curated record.
CAAAGUGGUCGGAUCCUUCCCUGGACCCUGCGCAAGCGGGAGCUACAUGCACCAGGUUGCCCUUUUUUUAGUCCUAUGUUUGAGUCAUUAAGCUGAGCUGCUUUGCUAUUUGUUCAGGGUUUGGAAAAAAUUUAUGGAUCGCCACAUGGUCAAAGUCUAGAUUAAUUUGUAUAGUUUGACAAAUAAAUGUACUGAUCGGUUGGCUCUCUUUUUUUCUCAGGUAUUAUUCAAGUCAUUCUUUUUACAUUUGGGGAAAAAAAAUCUUUUUUUGCCAGUUAUUUUUGGUAGAAUAUUAAUAACGAAACAAGAUGCUUCUAGUAUUAUGCUUGUGGUUAGUGGAAACAAUUCUGUGGCCAUUCAGUAUACAACCAAUAGUCUGCUAAAACUUUAAUGUCAAAACAUUAUGCUUUUUAUUCUUCUACUUCCUGUUUUGUUACCUGAUGGCAGUAAGCCUGCAAUGUUUCACAGGGGUUGCUUCUGAACACUUGGUUUCUAUUGCAUAAUGCAAGCAUUGAAGCUAUUAUGGAAAGUUGCAGAUGUUACGGUUGCUAUAUGUGUAGUACACCUGAUUCUAUAACUAUUUUUUGUUUCAAUUUGAUAUACAUGACAAUCAAUUUAUCUGCUACUUGGAAUAUUUACUUGUCACUAUCACUGUGUAGUGGAGACAACCAAAUGUGGUUAUUGAAUCAUGUGAUUGCAUCUGCAGUUUACAGCUCAUGGGAAUUGGGAAUGAUGCCGGUGCUUGUUUUGGAAUCAGUUUGAAGGUGGCACCAUGCAUGUACGUAAGCGCUAAUGCUAACUAAGUGAUGUCUGGACUGAGGACCCAAGGGAGCUAGGCUUGCCGGCCAUCGUGCUGCACAUGGGCAGCGCAGUGGCUAUCCGCUACUUCAGGCCCUAUGCCAUGCUGCACCACAAAGGAUACUUGCCAGCGCAAGACAUAUUCAGAGUAUGCAUCAACUGGACAAGCCAGUGGAAGAGCUGGCGUCAAUACGAGUGUCGGAUCUGUUCAACCCAAGCAUAUCGCCCAGCCAAGAAAUGGCGAACAAAAUCCUGGACACGGCCACCACUACUACAAAUAACUCCUAGGGAUUGCCUUCGCUACAAGUGCCAAAACUCUUGACAUUGAUGCCACGAGUGUAGCUGCACUGCCACCCACAAGCUUUUCGACGUAUAGCCUCAAUCACAACGCUGAAGGAGGCGACCCCAUGGUGGCGUGUUAGGCUUUCGGAGUAUGCCUCCGUCCUUCACUGUGCCUCCAGAGGACUCGCUAAUCCUGUUGCCUGAGCCAGCUAUCGGCCUCACACCCAGCGUGCUAGCACACACCAAUUAUUCCAUGAGUACUGCGGCUAGGAGUGCUACUGUGACCACGCUCUACAUGGUUGCAUCACAAGAGGUUCUCCGAACAGUAGCUCUUACUACUCUCCAUGCUUGGACAAGAUCUACGACCACUGACAUGUCCGUCAUUUGAUUGCUCUCAUCGUGGUGUGCAUCUGAAACACGUGGGGCUAGUAUGACAAAUUGUUUAUGUGAUGGCACAUUUUCCAGAUUAUCUGAAUUCUCUAAGAGACUCCUGUAGGUAUCUGCUGCGAACUGUGCAACUGAAACCAUGCCCAUCUAAGAAAGAAGGUUGUAUGCUGGAUCCUUGUGGUGCCAAAAGCUACUUCCAUCCCAUGUCAGCAGAUCUUGUGAUUAAUGGAUGUCCAGCUGAAGCUUCCAUGGUUAUCAAUUUCAUGCAAAUGCCAAGCACUACAUGUGUUGUCAGAACUACAUAAUGGUGAGCUCACUGAUGACUACUACUCGAGGGUUACAAAUUCUGGUUCGCCUGUGAUUAUCUGUUGAUAACCUUGAUUCAUUGGAAUUAUUUGAGACUCAGUUUCUAGCUCAUCAGCAAGUCAGGGAGUUGGCUGGGUCUUUUUUGCCUUGAGAAAUAGAUGGGCACCAGAGAUCCUAUGUAUAAAAGCCAGGAGCAGUGGAACUUUUAUGAGCAUCAUGUGCUAGAGCAUGAUAUAGUAUGUAGUAUUCUAGGCCUGCCAAAUUGCAGUACACAAUGUUGAUCAUGAACAUAUUAGUGUAGUGGCAAUUUUUAGUUAACGGGAAUUUAAGGGAGUGGUCAUUUUGCUAAAGGAUGCAGUUCUGAACAAUAUGAUGAGCUCUGGGUCCUAGUAUGUUUCCUGGGUCAACUUAUUUGUUGCUUUGAACAAAG